GCUCAUGAGGUGGAGCUGCGUUUCCUUUCUGUCUCUACUCGUCGUGCGUUUUAUGCAAAAUCCCUGCGAGCUGAGAGCCCCAACAACAGCCGGCUGACACACGAAACUCCGCCUCUUCCAACGCUCCUCACCAGCCCCCCGAGCGCGGCGCGAAGGGAACCGCGCCACCAGCCGCAGCCCCGCCCCGCCCGCGAGCUGAGGGCAGGACGCGAGGCGGGGCAACAACCGCCGGCCCCUCCGAGCGCGGGCGCGCGCUGGGCGGGGAAAGCGCAUUCCUGCGCCCGGCCCUCACAGUCCCCGCCCUCGGCUCGCGGGGCGAUGGGCGGGGCUAGCCUCGUUCCCACCCCGCUAAGUCCAUAUAAAGGCCGCGAGCGCCCCCCGCCCCCUCUUUUCCUGUGGAGCGGUGGCGGCGGCGGUAUGAAGCAGAAUCUUUCAGUGGUUUCCAAUACGUUGUGCAGAAGCAUUAAGCCCAAGAUGGAAGCACCAUUGGAACUAGAAGAGUAUUUGGUACGCACAAGUGGAUUUUCCUGA
Molecule: long non-coding RNA, 531 nt
Organism: Phasianus colchicus (ring-necked pheasant)
Lineage: Eukaryota; Metazoa; Chordata; Aves; Galliformes; Phasianidae
Source: Ensembl